RNAcentral lists this ribosomal RNA (465 nucleotides) under uncultured bacterium. RNAcentral describes it as "partial 16S ribosomal RNA". It matches the Rfam family "Bacterial small subunit ribosomal RNA", at positions 28 to 507 of the family's 1533-position model. The record is from RNAcentral.
GACGAACGCUGGCGGCGUGCUUAACACAUGCAAGUCGAACGGAAAGGCCCCUUUGGGGGUACUCGAGUGGCGAACGGGUGAGUAACACGUGAGUAACCUGCCCUUGACUUCGUGAUAACUUCAGGAAACUGGGGCUAAUACCGGAUAGGAAUCCUUGCUGCAUGGUGGGGGUGGGAAAGCUUCGGCGGUUUUGGAUGGACUCGCGGCUUAUCAGCUUGUUGGUGGGGUAGUGGCUUACCAAGGCUUUGACGGGUAGCCGGCCUGAGAGGGCGACCGGCCACAAUGGGACUGAGAGUACGCCCAGACUCCGACGGGAGGCAGCAGUGGGGAAUAUUGCACCAUGGGCGGAAGCCGGAUGCCGCAACGCCGCGUGCGGGAGGACGGCCUUCGGGUUGUAAACCGCUUUCAGCAGGGGCGAAGCUUGUGGUGACGGUACCUGCAGAAGAAGCACCGGCUAACUACGUG